CAUGAGCAUGUCGACUGGAGGAGUAGUGCCGGCUCCGCUCUGCCAGGGCUUUCUGAAGAAACGGAAAGACAAAAUGAGGCUUCGGUGGGUGACUUACUGGUUCAGGCUUUACAAUACAACUCUCUUUUUCUACACUAAAAAACACGGGAGUGCUUUAGACCUCAGGGGCCAGUAUUACAUAUAUGAGGUUCAGUCUGUGCGGGAGGUCAGCAGAUCGGAGAACAAUCGCUAUCUGUUUGAGAUCACAAUGAAAAAUGGGAAGAAGAAAAUGCUGGCGAGUUUUCACGUUGAUCAAGAGAGAGUCUGUAAUCUGUGUUUGAGGAUGUGGUCUCCCAGUAACCACUUGUGAACAAUGUUACUUUGUUGAGACCAAGGCAGGACUGUCAUAGUUUCAAAAAGGAACAUGGAUUGCACUUAUUGUGACUGAAAGAAUUAUGAAUACUCUCUUUAUGCCCCUUUUGCCCAUAAACAUCUAAGAACUUUGUACUACCAGGCUGCAGAUACAGCUGAUGUCAGGCAGGAGUGGAUGGAGCAGCUGUGGAAAGCCAUGCUGCUCAAUGGCCCAGACAGAUCUGGAUCUCUCACCGAUGGGUACCACUGCUCUUUAUGACACUUCUCGUCAGUGGUUGUUUUUGUAUGAGAUUAAUAAUGCUCUGAAUGUGUUUUGUGUGUUAUUGAGAUUAGGGAGCUGGUGCCAGAUAACAACCCUGAAAUUCGGUCUAGCCGGUGUGAAGAAUCAAAUAAUGAGACCAGCAGCACUUCAGUGAGCAGCAUUGAUCAAGAGUCAUUCGAGUCCUUCGCUGGUACGUCCCACAUUUGGGAUGCGACUUUCUCCAGUUCCA
Molecule: long non-coding RNA, 842 nt
Filed under: Sinocyclocheilus anshuiensis
Lineage: Eukaryota; Metazoa; Chordata; Actinopteri; Cypriniformes; Cyprinidae
Description: lncRNA (ENSSANG00000050021.1)
Source: RNAcentral